RNAcentral lists this ribosomal RNA (601 nucleotides) under Xylobanus sp. UPOL 000184. RNAcentral describes it as "partial 16S ribosomal RNA". It matches the Rfam family "Bacterial large subunit ribosomal RNA", at positions 1816 to 2714 of the family's 2925-position model. Lineage: Eukaryota; Metazoa; Arthropoda; Insecta; Coleoptera; Lycidae. The record is from RNAcentral.
CAUGUCUUUUUGAAAAUAAUUUAAAGUCUAAUCUGCUCAAUGAUAUAUUAAAUUGCCGCAGUAUUUUGACUGUGCAAAGGUAGCAUAAUAAUUAGUUUCUUAAUUAGAAACUAGAAUGAAUGAUUGGACAAGAAAAUUUCUGUCUCUUUAUUAAUUUUAUUAAAUUUUAUUUUUAAGUGAAAAAGCUUAAAUUUAUUUAAAAGACGAGAAGACCCUAUAGAGUUUAACACUAAAAUUUAAAAUAUAAUAGUAAAAUUUUUUUUAAGUGUUUAAUUGGGGUGAUUUAAAAAUUAAAAAAAUUUUUUAAAAAUUAAUAAUUAGUGAUUUCUAAAAAUAACUUCUAUAAAUUAUAAGUGUAAUACAAAUUACCUUAGGGAUAACAGCGUAAUUUUUUUUAAAAGUUCUUAUUUGAAAAAAAGUUUGCGACCUCGAUGUUGGAUUAAAGUUAAUAAUUGGUGCAAUAACUAAUUUAUUAGGUCUGUUCGACCUAUAAAACUUUACAUGAUCUGAGUUUAAAUCGGUGUAAACCAGGUUGGAUUCUAUCUUUAAUUUUAUUAAAAUAUUUUAGUACGAAAGGACCAGAUAUUUAUUAAAAUAAUUG